AAAGAGGGUGAAAGCCCCGUAGACGAAAUGCUAACAACACCUAGGAGGAUCCUGAGUACGGCGGAACACGAGAAAUUCCGUCGGAAUCCGCGGGGACCAUCCCGCAAGGCUAAAUACUCCCUAGUGACCGAUAGUGAACCAGUACCGUGAGGGAAAGGUGAAAAGCACCCCGGAAGGGGAGUGAAAUAGAUCCUGAAACCGUGUGCCUACAACAAGUCAAAGCUCGUUAAUGAGUGAUGGCGUGCCUUUUGUAGAAUGAACCGGCGAGUUACGAUUGCAUGCGAGGUUAAGUCGAAGAGACGGAGCCGCAGCGAAAGCGAGUCUGAAUAGGGCGAAUGAGUAUGUAGUCGUAGACCCGAAACCAUGUGAUCUACCCAUGUCCAGGUUGAAGGUGCGGUAAAACGCACUGGAGGACCGAACCCACGUACGUUGAAAAGUGCGGGGAUGAGGUGUGGGUAGCGGAGAAAUUCCAAACGAACUUGGAGAUAGCUGGUUCUCUCCGAAAUAGCUUUAGGGCUAGCCUCGGAAUUGAGAAUGAUGGAGGUAGAGCACUGUUUGGACUAGGGGCCCAUCUCGGGUUACCGAAUUCAGAUAAACUCCGAAUGCCAUUCAUUUAUAUCCGGGAGUCAGACUGCGAGUGAUAAGAUCCGUAGUCGAAAGGGAAACAGCCCAGACCACCAGCUAAGGUCCCAAAAUAUAUGUUAAGUGGAAAAGGAUGUGGGGUUGCACAGACAACUAGGAUGUUGGCUUAGAAGCAGCCACCAUUUAAAGAGUGCGUAAUAGCUCACUAGUCGAGUGACCCUGCGCCGAAAAUGUACCGGGGCUAAACAUAUUACCGAAGCUGUGGACUACACCAUUAGGUGUAGUGGUAGGAGAGCGUUCUAAGGGCGUUGAAGGUCGAUCGUGAGGACGGCUGGAGCGCUUAGAAGUGAGAAUGCCGGUAUGAGUAGCGAAAGACAGGUGAGAAUCCUGUCCACCGUAUGACUAAGGUUUCCUGGGGAAGGCUCGUCCGCCCAGGGUUAGUCGGGACCUAAGCCGAGGCCGAUAGGCGUAGGCGAUGGACAACAGGUUGAUAUUCCUGUACCAGUUGUUUUUGUUUGAGCAAUGGAGGGACGCAGUAGGCUAAGGAAUGCAUGCGAUUGGAAGUGCAUGUCCAAGCAAUGAGUCUUGAGUAGAGUUAAAUGCUUUACUCUUUAAGGACAAGUUGUGACGGGGAGCGAAAUAAUAGUAGCGAAGUUCCUGAUGUCACACUGCCAAGAAAAGCUUCUAGUGAGAAAACAACUGCCCGUACCGUAAACCGACACAGGUAGUCGAGGAGAGUAUCCUAAGGUGAGCGAGCGAACUCUCGUUAAGGAACUCGGCAAAAUGACCCCGUAACUUCGGGAGAAGGGGUGCUGACUUCGGUCAGCCGCAGUGAAUAGGCCCAAGCGACUGUUUAUCAAAAACACAGGUCUCUGCAAAAUCGUAAGAUGAAGUAUAGGGGCUGACGCCUGCCCGGUGCUGGAAGGUUAAGAGGAUGGGUUAGCUUCGGCGAAGCUCAGAAUUGAAGCCCCAGUAAACGGCGGCCGUAACUAUAACGGUCCUAAGGUAGCGAAAUUCCUUGUCGGGUAAGUUCCGACCCGCACGAAAGGCGUAACGAUUUGGGCACUGUCUCAACGAGAGACUCGGUGAAAUUUUAGUACCUGUGAAGAUGCAGGUUACCCGCGACAGGACGGAAAGACCCCAUGGAGCUUUACUGUAGUUUGAUAUUGAGUGUUUGUACCACAUGUACAGGAUAGGUAGGAGCCGAUGAGACCGGA
RNAcentral lists this ribosomal RNA (1799 nucleotides) under Enterococcus faecalis. Its description in RNAcentral is "partial 23S ribosomal RNA". It matches the Rfam family "Bacterial large subunit ribosomal RNA", at positions 357 to 2167 of the family's 2925-position model. The record is from RNAcentral. Lineage: Bacteria; Bacillati; Bacillota; Bacilli; Lactobacillales; Enterococcaceae.